This 96-nucleotide ribosomal RNA is filed under the name Actinomycetota bacterium. Lineage: Bacteria; Bacillati; Actinomycetota. The record is from RNAcentral.
GAUACACCUCUUCCCUUUCCGAACAGAGCAGUUAAGCCCCUCAGCGCCGAUGGUACUUGGCUCGCAAGGGCCUGGGAGAGUAGGUCGCCGCCGGAA